Molecule: long non-coding RNA, 601 nt
Filed under: Rattus norvegicus (Norway rat)
Lineage: Eukaryota; Metazoa; Chordata; Mammalia; Rodentia; Muridae
Description: long non-coding RNA NONRATT016635
Source: RNAcentral
UGUGUGCCCAUCCCAGAAGUGUCCUGAGCCCUGUCCUCCUCCAAAGUGCCCAGAGCCUUGUCCUCCUCCAAAGUGCCCAGAACCUUGUCCUCCCCAAAAGUGCCCAGAGCCAUGUCCUCCUCCAAAGUGCCCUGAACCGUGCGCUCCUCAGCCAUGCCAGCAGAAAUGCCCUCCUGUCCAAACUCCUCCACCAUGCCAGCAGAAAUGCCCACCCAAAAGCAAGUGAAAGCUUUAGCAAUCAUCAAGACCAAGAGAAGACAAGGUGCAUCAUGUACUUCCAAAGCAACACCUCCAUCUUCCCUUCAAAACCUCUCAUGGAUGCAGAAGAACCUUCCCCACCCUUUACCCUCCCUCUACAUACCACUGAUAAUUUCUGAUUGGAAAAGAGCUUCUCUGAGUGUAUUCCCCUGCUGCUAUCAAGAGAUUGCCAGAAAUGGCCCUUUGGUAGUCUAGUAUUCCUGAUGCUCAGAAGGAAGAAUAGCAGGUGGUGUCCCAAUGCCCUCAGUGGAACCUUCUCACUGUUCCUGUCACUUAGGCAGGGGAUUACACAACUUGGACAAUUGUUACUGAUGUAAUAAAAAAAUUUUAAAAAAGAACUAAA